RNAcentral lists this ribosomal RNA (1652 nucleotides) under Ligilactobacillus pobuzihii E100301 = KCTC 13174. RNAcentral's name for it is "bacterial LSU rRNA". It matches the Rfam family "Bacterial large subunit ribosomal RNA", at positions 1161 to 2821 of the family's 2925-position model. Lineage: Bacteria; Bacillati; Bacillota; Bacilli; Lactobacillales; Lactobacillaceae. The record is from RNAcentral.
GCGCCGAAAAUGUAACGGGGCUAAACACAUUACCGAAAUUGUGGAUCCGACCUUUGGGUCGGGUGAUAGGAGAGCGUUCUAAGGGCGAAGAAGCCAGACCGCAAGGACUGGUGGAGCGCUUAGAAGUGAGAAUGCCGGUAUGAGUAGCGCAAGGUCAGUGAGAAUCUGACCCACCGUAUGACUAAGGUUUCCUGGGGAAGGCUCGUCCUCCCAGGGUUAGUCGGGACCUAAGCUGAGGCCAAGAGGCGUAAGCGAUGGCUAACAGGUGGAGAUUCCUGUACUGGUCAGAUCUGUUUGAGUGAUGGAGGGACGCAGGAGGCUAACGGAGCGUGCAGCUGGAAUUGCACGUCCAAGCAGCGAGUCGCAAAACGAGUGAAAGGCUUGUUUUGGUGGUAGAUGAGCUGUGAUGGGGAGCGAAAUUUAAGUAGCGAAGGAAGUCAGGUCACACUGCCGAGAAAAGCUUCUAGCGAAGAUCUGAUCACCCGUACCGCAAACCGACACAGGUAGUCGAGGAGAGUAUCCUCAGGUGAGCGAGUGAACUCUCGUUAAGGAACUCGGCAAAAUGACCCCGUAACUUCGGGAGAAGGGGUGCUGGUCGACAGACCAGCCGCAGUGAAUAGGCCCAGGCGACUGUUUAUCAAAAACACAGGUUUCUGCAAAAUCGUAAGAUGAUGUAUAGGGGCUGACGCCUGCCCGGUGCUGGAAGGUUAAGAGGAUGAGUCAGCUUCGGCAAAGCUCAAAAUCGAAGCCCCAGUAAACGGCGGCCGUAACUAUAACGGUCCUAAGGUAGCGAAAUUCCUUGUCGGGUAAGUUCCGACCCGCACGAAAGGCGUAACGAUCUGGGCACUGUCUCAACGAGAGACUCGGUGAAAUUAUAAUACCUGUGAAGAUGCAGGUUACCCGCGACAGGACGGAAAGACCCCAUGGAGCUUUACUGUAGCUUGAUAUUGGGUGUUCGUGCAACUUGUACAGGAUAGGUAGGAGCCGUGGAAGACGGGACGCUAGUCUCGUCGGAGGCACAGGUGGGAUACUACCCUCGUUGUAUGAACACUCUAACCCGCACCGGUGAUCCCGGUGGGAGACAGUGUCUGGUUGGCAGUUUGACUGGGGCGGUCGCCUCCCAAAAGGUAACGGAGGCGCCCAAAGGUUCCCUCAGAAUGGUUGGAAAUCAUUCCUAGAGUGUAAAGGCAGAAGGGAGCUUGACUGUGAGACUGACAAGUCGAGCAGGGACGAAAGUCGGGCUUAGUGAUCCGGUGGUUCCGUAUGGAAGGGCCAUCGCUCAACGGAUAAAAGCUACCCUGGGGAUAACAGGCUUAUCUCCCCCAAGAGUCCACAUCGACGGGGAGGUUUGGCACCUCGAUGUCGGCUCAUCGCAUCCUGGGGCUGUAGUCGGUCCCAAGGGUUGGGCUGUUCGCCCAUUAAAGCGGUACGCGAGCUGGGUUCAGAACGUCGUGAGACAGUUCGGUCCCUAUCCGUCGCGGGCGUAGGAAAUUUGCGAGGAUCUGUCCUUAGUACGAGAGGACCGGGAUGGACACACCGCUGGUGUACCAGUUGUCUUGCCCAAGGCAGCGCUGGGUAGCUAAGUGUGGCUGAGAUAAACGCUGAAAGCAUCUAAGUGCGAAACUCACCUCAAGAUUAGAUUUCCCAUUCCU